This 138-nucleotide unclassified non-coding RNA is filed under the name soil metagenome. RNAcentral's name for it is "partial internal transcribed spacer 1". The record is from RNAcentral.
UCAAAACAGCGGCCUUCGGGCCUCGCUGCACCCUUGUCUUUUGCGCACCGUAUUGUUUCCUCGGCGGGCUUGCCUGCCGGUUGGACAUUAUCAAACCUUUUUGUAGUUGCAAUCAGCGUCAGAAAAUAAUAAUAAUUA